This 64-nucleotide transfer RNA is filed under the name Physoderes impexa. Its description in RNAcentral is "tRNA-Arg". The record is from RNAcentral. Lineage: Eukaryota; Metazoa; Arthropoda; Insecta; Hemiptera; Reduviidae.
UGAAGUACUGAAGUAAAAUUACACUUAGUUUCGACCUAAUAUUUAGAGCUAAGGCUCCUUACUU